Long non-coding RNA from Zerene cesonia (dogface butterfly), 699 nucleotides. RefSeq lists it as uncharacterized. NCBI's taxonomy places the organism in Eukaryota, Metazoa, Arthropoda, Insecta, Lepidoptera, Pieridae. The record is from RefSeq and is a predicted model, not a curated record. The transcript has 3 exons.
CCGGACGGACCUACGUUCUUAUCUGUCGUAUAAUCGUCAACACUAAAAAGUUUCUACGCGAAUUUUACUGCAGAAUAUUAACGGUGUAACUGUGUUGUGUUGUGAAUUUUGUGAAUUCAAGACAUAUUUAAUUAUUUAUCAGCAUGGCGUACCCAUAAAAACUUUUGAACAUAGCAGUGUUGUCUUAUAUUAUGUUAUGCGGACGAGUUGGAAGGCAAUUACAGAAAAAUACGAGUUCCUUGCACGAUACACAAAUACUCUUAUAGACUGCCGAUGUUUGCUCUAGGAGCCUUAUCAUUUGAUAAGUUAGAACACAAGCCGCGUGUAAACAACCUUAUCAUGCUAUCGUUCUCACUGGAGACGCGAAAUUGCCCCGCAGAAUCUGUUGCAUGCCGUCGCGACGUACAGAAUACUUAAUUAUUUUUUUCCGUUUUAAUUUGUCGUUAUGGAAGAGGAAGUUUGCAUAAAAGACGGAUAGAUUGGAGAAGUGAUAGUGUUAGCGCAACCAAAGGGAAUACCGCAGUAAGCUCGAGUGAUUUCUAGUCGGGAUUUGUAAAAGUGCAUCAAACUGGAGGACCUACAGACUUUGGAAAGCGCUGAGGGCGUGGGCGAGAACGCCAGUGAGGAAUGCCUUGCGAAGAAUCACAAUUUAUCAGCAAAUUUUUGCCCAGCUUAUUACGAUGGACUGUUGUGCUGGGA